RNAcentral lists this long non-coding RNA (541 nucleotides) under Arabidopsis lyrata. RNAcentral's name for it is "long non-coding RNA (ALYR_LNC000195)". Lineage: Eukaryota; Viridiplantae; Streptophyta; Magnoliopsida; Brassicales; Brassicaceae. The record is from RNAcentral.
AAAAAAAAAAAAUUUAUCUCUUCAUUCAAAAUACGUUACCAGGAAACCCUAGCCGAUUGAGCAAACAAAGAUCUCCACUGAAUUUCCCUAAGCCACAACGUCUUCGUUUUCUGAUGCAUGUCUCCAUGUCACAAAUCACGUCAUCAAGAUAAGUUCUAUUUAUCAAUUAUGUUGCUUAGAUCCGAUCGGCUCAUGCAUAAAAAUAUCUAUGGCAUAUUAAUAUUUAUGGCUUGAUUAUAGAUCAGCUUAUCUUUUAGCUUCGGGAUGCUAUCAAAACUCUAAUCGUAUAAUGAAGGGCUGUCUCUAGGUGGCAUCCUAUAUUAUAGUCGCUCAACUAGAAUCACCUUGUACUAUUGACCUCUACCCAAUUCACCCUAUACUAAUUAAAAACUUCCCAAUUCGACCUAAGCUUUUAAUUUCUACUUAUUUCAACCAAUUCAAUCAACCCAAUUAAUUGCGUUUAAAAAUCAUAAAAUCGCAAUUACUGUACCACGAUUAUACUAAAUCAAGUUUAAAAACUAUAACCUAAGAUUCAAUUCGG